Molecule: ribosomal RNA, 523 nt
Filed under: Klebsiella oxytoca
Lineage: Bacteria; Pseudomonadati; Pseudomonadota; Gammaproteobacteria; Enterobacterales; Enterobacteriaceae
Description: partial 23S ribosomal RNA
Rfam family: Bacterial large subunit ribosomal RNA
Source: RNAcentral
UGUUUCGGCUAGGGGGUCAUCCCGACUUACCAACCCGAUGCAAACUACGAAUACCGAAGAAUGUUAUCACGGGAGACACACGGCGGGUGCUAACGUCCGUCGUGAAGAGGGAAACAACCCAGACCGCCAGCUAAGGUCCCAAAGUCAUGGUUAAGUGGGAAACGAUGUGGGAAGGCCCAGACAGCCAGGAUGUUGGCUUAGAAGCAGCCAUCAUUUAAAGAAAGCGUAAUAGCUCACUGGUCGAGUCGGCCUGCGCGGAAGAUGUAACGGGGCUAAACCAUGCACCGAAGCUGCGGCAGCGACACUAUGUGUUGUUGGGUAGGGGAGCGUUCUGUAAGCCGUUGAAGGUGGCCUGUGAGGGUUGCUGGAGGUAUCAGAAGUGCGAAUGCUGACAUAAGUAACGAUAAUGCGGGUGAAAAACCCGCACGCCGGAAGACCAAGGGUUCCUGUCCAACGUUAAUCGGGGCAGGGUGAGUCGACCCCUAAGGCGAGGCCGAAAGGCGUAGUCGAUGGGAAACAGGUU